Molecule: ribosomal RNA, 200 nt
Filed under: uncultured eukaryote
Lineage: Eukaryota
Description: partial 18S ribosomal RNA
Rfam family: Eukaryotic small subunit ribosomal RNA
Source: RNAcentral
GCUCCAAUAGCGUAUAUUAAAGUUGUUGCAGUUAAAAAGCUCGUAGUUGGAUUUGUGGCGUACGGUGUGUUCCGGGCACUUGUUGUCUGAGUAACCUGCUGUUGCCAUCCUUGGGUGGAACCUGUGUGGCAUUAGGUUGUCGUGCAGGGGAUGCCAUCAUUUACUGUGAAAAAAUUAGAGUGUUCAAAGCAGGCUUAUGC